AUGUGGAGGCUGAAGGUGUCGGAGGGUGGCGGGCCGUGGUUGCGGUCGGUGAACAACUUCCUUGGCAGGGCAGUGUGGGAGUUCGAUCCCGACCACGGCACGCCGGAGGAGCGUGCCGAGGUUGAUAGAGUCCGCCGGGAGUUCACCCAGCGCCGCUUCCAGAAGAGGGAGUCACAGGAUCUUCUUAUGCGCAUGCAGGUCGCUAGGAGGAACUACGCAAAUCAAAAGCACCUUCAGGCGGAUCUUCCGGUCGUCAAGCUUGUAGAUAGUGGAGAAGUCACAGAAGGGACUAUGUUAAUAUGCUUGAGGCGAGCCCUUACUCAACACUCCGCUCUGCAAGCACAUGAUGGGCAUUGGGCUUGCGAUUUCAGUGGAAUUAUGUUCAUUAUGCCUAUAUUGAUAUUUGCUCUUCAUGUUACUGGAUCACUCAAUACUGUCCUUUCAACAGAACAUCAACGUGAGAUUUGUCGCUAUAUUUACAACCAUCAGAAUGAAGAUGGUGGUUGGGGCACGCAAGUGUCGACGCCAAGCACCAUGUUGGGAUCAUGCUUAAACUAUGUUACCUUGAAGCUUCUCGAUGAAGUGAAAAAUGAAGCCUUGACCAAGGGACGUGCCUGGAUUCUAUCACAUGGAAGUGCAGUUGCAAUACCACAAUGGGGAAAGAUAUGGCUCUCGGUGGUCGGUUUGUAUGAAUGGUGUGGAAAUAAUUCGAUCAUUCCUGAAUUAUGGCUUGUCCCACAUUUUCUUCCAAUUCAUCCAGGACGAUUUUGGUGCCUUUGCCGGUUGGUUUAUAUGCCAAUGUCUUAUCUUUAUGGCAAAAAGUUUGUUGGCCCAAUUACACCAACAAUAUUAGCAAUAAGGGAGGAGAUAUAUAGCACCCCGUAUCAUGAGGUCAAUUGGAAUAAAGCACGUGUUACUUGUGCCAAGGAAGACCUUCGUCAUCCACAAUCAUUGCUAAAGAAUGUUAUUUGGACAUGUCUUACUAAAUUUGUGGAACCAAUGUUGAAUUCCUGGCCAAUUAAUAAGUUGAGAGAUAAAGCAUUGAAAAACCUCAUGAAACAUAUGCAUUAUGAAGAUGAAAGUACUAAAUAUAUCGGCAUAUCUCCAAUUAACAAGGCACUAGAUAUGAUCUGUUGCUGGAUUGACGAUCCAAAUUCAGAUGCAUUGAGGUUACAUAUUCCAAGGAUUUAUGACUAUUUAUGGCUUGCAGAAGAUGGCAUGAAAGCACAGGUGUACGAUGGUUGUCAAAGUUGGGAGAUAGCUUUUAUUAUCCAAGCCUAUUGCUCCACAAACCUUGUUAAUGAGUUUGGUACAACACUUAAAAAAGCCUAUGGGUUCUUGAAAAGUUCACAGGUUCUUGAUAACCACCCCGACGGUGAAGCUUAUUACCGCCAUAGAUCAAAAGGUUCAUGGACACUUUCAACAGCAGAUAAUGGUUGGUCUGUAUCAGAUUGCACUGCAGAAGCACUUAAGGCAUUAUUGCUAUUGUCAAAUAUCUCUCCUAAUCUUGUGGGGGAUCCCAUAGAAGAAGAAAGGUUGUAUGAUGCAGUGGAUUGCUUACUUUCUUUCAAGAACAAUGAUGGUACCUUUUCUACAUACGAGUGUAAGAGAACUACAUCAUUGAUAGAGGUUCUCAACCCUUCUGAGUCAUUUCUGAAUAUUAUGGUCGACUAUCCAUCGGUCGAGUGCACAUCAUCGGUUCUUGAAGCCUUGAUUAUGUUUAGUGAAAAUUACCCAGGGUACCGCAAAGAUGAGAUAGGAAAGUGCAUAAAACAUUGUUCCAUGUUUAUUGAGAAUAGUCAACGGAAGGAUGGAUCAUGGUUUGGCACUUGGGGUAUAUGUUUCACCUAUGGAACAUUAUUUGCUGUAAAAGGGUUAAUUGCUGCUGGAAGUACUUACAACAAUAGUUCCUUCAUAAGAAAAGCAUGCAACUUUCUGUUGUCAAAGCAGCUAAGUACAGGUGGAUGGGGUGAGACUUAUCUUUCAAGUGAAACUAAGUCUUAUGUGGAUGCUACUAGUCCUCACGGAGUGAACACUGCUUGGGCAAUGUUGGCUUUAGUUUAUGCUGGGCAGGUUGAACGAGAUCCCACACCAUUGUAUCAUGCCGCAAAAGAAUUGAUGAAUAUGCAACUAGACACAGGGGAGUUUCCCCAGCAAGAACAUGUUGGAUGCUUCAAUUGCUCCGUGUACUUCAAUUAUGGCAACUACUGCAACUUAUAUCCCAUCUGGGCUAUUGGAGAGUUUCAUCGUCGACUACUUGAGAAGAACUGA
RNAcentral lists this ribosomal RNA (2271 nucleotides) under Triticum aestivum (bread wheat). RNAcentral's name for it is "partial small subunit ribosomal RNA". Lineage: Eukaryota; Viridiplantae; Streptophyta; Magnoliopsida; Poales; Poaceae. The record is from RNAcentral.